This is a non-coding RNA of Misgurnus anguillicaudatus (oriental weatherfish), 2683 nucleotides long. The record is from RefSeq and is a predicted model, not a curated record. NCBI's taxonomy places the organism in Eukaryota, Metazoa, Chordata, Actinopteri, Cypriniformes, Cobitidae.
CCCCCUGGGGUCCAAAAACGCGGGGCCGCGUUUUGACGCAUUUUUUCCUGUUUCCUGUGACAUCCACUUAAAAUACUCCGUCAUUCAUAAUCAUACACAUACAUGUAAUACAUCAUUCGAAACUGUGAAGUCUCUACUUUAAUGUGAGUGCCUUCAUAAUAACAACAAAACUGUGUGCUUUUGGCAAAUAAAGAAAAUAAACAGGGAGUGCAUUUCGACAUCUCUGUCUCCUUGACCAUUUUCCUCAAACACGUUUCAAACAUGAACUGAUAACUCCGCCAAUACUUGUCACACGAACAUGAUACAUAUGUCUAAAGAAAGCCUGAAAUGUCUACUUUUACAUGAUGUAAUUAAAAUCUGAAGAACUCAUUGUCUGUUUGUGUAAUCGACAUGUAAGUAAAGAGAGGUACAGUUUUUCUGGCUCGACCUCAUUAGCGCUAAUGUAAUCCCACCUUCCCUUGUGCGCGCCAUUCAUAUGGAAAUUACCUGAUGCGGGCUAUGCAAACAAGAUCAACGCCCACAAACAAUGCUUUAAGAAGCAGCGAGUUUUGACAGUUUCAUCCACUUAUCAACGCGUUCGGAAGAUGACACGCUUUACAGGUGAGGAACCUCUAUGCUCCUGGACAGCGAGGAAGAAGAGUUCACUGUUUCUUCAGACGAAGAGCAGGACUCCGACGAUGAACGUUUGUAUUUUGAAGAGCGACUUGAUCCAGCUGAGGAUAUAAUUUCUGAAGAGAAUGUGGCAGCAUCACUCUCCUCUUCAGCGGGCAUUUGCAGAAAUGCGACGGACAUUCAUAAAGGGUUAGUCACAUUUGCGGGCUUUUCUGUUUUAUUGGAAGACUUUUACUGAUGUUUUGCGUAGUAAUUUGGAAAAUACAAGAUGUAUAUAUAUAAACAUAUCUGUAUUUUCCGAAAAUACAUGAUACAAAUAAUGUUUUUAAUUUUUUUUAGUAACGUGGCUUCAUCAUCAUUUACUCGCACGGGGGCAUGCAGAAACGAACCCGAAAUAAAUAAAGUGAUACAAUUUAUAUAUAUAUUUUUUAAGGUAAAAUGUAAGGCAAAAUUUGUUUAAUUAUUCCUCAUAACAUUUUUAUGCCACGAUCUACAGAACAUCACACAAAAAAACAUUUUGAGAACUAAACCUAAAAAAUAACAAAGGUGAUCCUGCCUUGGAAACCCCGGCUACAAUUUAGUAUUUUUAUUUAAUUCGGAGAUUAAGCGCGUCAAAGCCAUGACCAAAAAAAGACAAAUGACAAAUAAUUUGUGAUUGUUACUGUAAAUGAUAAAAACUAUAAGCUAUAAUGUAUACAAUUCAUUAAACGUUAAUUUAUAACAAGAAAAACACUGAAAUUAAUGAUUUUAUAGACACUCCGCGUUAUUGUUUAGCACAGAAAUACCUGCUUGCUUGCUUUGACUUUGAUCAUCUCUGUAUUCACUUUAGAUACAGAAAGACCUGAUGAUAUUAUUUAUUUCAGGAAUCUCUUUGCUAUCAUUUGAAAGUGAACACCGACCAUAAUAGAUAACCACUCGGUUUUAAAUACAUUUUAAAACUUAUGCCCGCCGCAAAACAUCCGUUUUGUAAUGUUUAGUUUGAUGAAAUUCUAAAUAUGAGACGCAGAGCACCUAUAGCACGUUCGGCAAAAUUGCAUGCGCAAACAUGGCCAGAACGCAAUAGCGCAACAUCGAUAGAACGAAAAACAAUCCAAAAUGUACAGACUUAAAUUAUAUCAGAAUUUACGUUUAUAAUAAAUACAUUUUUUAAAUCAAAUAAGGUCAGAAGUAACAACGUGCAGAACAAAUGUGCAAAAUGCCUCAAGUGCACGGAAACAAAACACAAGCCAAAUAGAUAAAUCAGAUAAACCAGAGUGAUUUAUAAAUAAAAUAAAGAAAUUAAUAAAAAAACGAAAGUAUUGCCAGAAUUGCCAGCUUCGUCUUUUAAAUGUAGAAACAAAGAGGCAAUGGUUUAUUAACAUAGGAACCUCUUUUUGGACGUGUAGCCCUGUCACAGGGAUUGUUGGAUUUAUUAACGCAUUUUAAAAAUAUUUAUUGAAAGCUGCUACAUCACAUAUUAUUGGCAGCAUUAUAAUAAUAUGCUGUAUAUCAAUAUAUUGGGAGAAAGCUGUUAUGUGCGAAAUCAGAUAAUGUGUGCACCCAUAUACGGCCAAAAUUGAAUGAUCCUCAUUUCAUAACACAUCUGCAACGAUUCGACUGUGAGAUUGGUAGUCGAAUCCGGCUUCUCCGAUGCAUCGAAUCUUCAACUAUUCGGGGUCACCCCUAUUAAUUAUUAAAAAAAGUUCUCAAUAUUAGUAAUACUGAUGUGUUGCUUUGUACUUUGAAAAUACAUGAUAUUAAUUAAGAUAUGUUUUCAGGAAUGUGUCUGCAACACCAACUUCGUCUGGUACUCGCACGUUUUGAACAAUGGCACGACAACAUUUAACUCCAUUCCCAAAGAGUUACAGUGUGUGAUGGUUUACAAAUGUAUACCUUAUUUUUUAUAUUUGGAAGUAUUUUUAGAUGCACACCAAACUUUCACAGCUGACAUUUAGAAUCAUUUUCUUUUAAUUAGAGCCAUAUUGUACUGGUCAUAUAGAAUAUUGUUACAUGUAUACAUAUUGUUACUUUAUUAUUUAUAAUUACAAUUAAGCUUCUUUGUUUAUAAUUACAAUAAAGCUUCUUAAAUCUA